RNA transcript from Mangifera indica (mango), 2655 nucleotides. It is a transcript of the gene named TBC1 domain family member 17-like, with no coding region annotated. NCBI's taxonomy places the organism in Eukaryota, Viridiplantae, Streptophyta, Magnoliopsida, Sapindales, Anacardiaceae. The transcript has 18 exons. The record is from RefSeq and is a predicted model, not a curated record.
UUCUUUUCUUCGUCUAGAAGUAAAUUGAAGCCCUAUAAUAUAUCUCAUUUGGCUCUUACAAAUUGUCAUUGUAAUUUCAUAUCUCCACCGUUCCCCGAUCAUGCAAGAAGCGGAGCUUCACGAUUUAUCUGACGAUGCUGAUUAUGCUGCCUCUAUGCAACAAGGAUCAUCAAUCAUGAUGAGGAGCGAUAGUAGCAAGACUAGCUCGUCCAGCGAACCAGACGGCGCCGAAGUGGUUUAUUCGAAAGAUAAUGUUACUAUUCACCCCACUCAGUUUGCAUCUGAACGAAUUAGCGGAAAAUUGAAGCUAAUUAAACAAGGCUCCUCUCUCUUUAUGACGUGGAUUCCGUACAAAGGACAAAACUCGAAUGCAAAGUUAUCUGAGAAAGUAGAUAGGAAUUUGUACACCAUAAGGGCGGUGCUGUUUACAGAUGUGCAUUCCAUUCGCAGACACACUCCAGCUAUUGGGUGGCAAUUCAUAAUUGUGGUUUUAUCAUCAGGCCUUGCUUAUCCUCCUCUUUACUUCUACAAUGGUGGAGUUAGAGAGUUCCUUGCUACUGCAAAUCAACAUGUUGUUCUUGUGAGGUCUGCAGAAGAUGCCAAUGUAUUUCUUGUCAAUGAUUUCCAAAGUCCUCUGCAGAAAACUUUAUCUUCUUUGGAGCUGCCAAGGGUGGUUACCUUAGCAAGUGGGCCGUCAACAACUGUGUCAGUUGGUGACUGUCUUUUAAAUGAAAACCAAGAUAGGCCCUAUGAAGCAGUUGGCCAGGUAAGUUCCAGCAUUUCUCGGUACAAUGGGAGACAAAGGCAAAAGAGUCAUGAUCCUUCUCGAGACAUCUCAAUUCAAGUAUUGGAAAAAUUCUCACUUGUGACCAAAUUUGCCCGGGAAACAACUUCUCAACUAUUUCCUGAAAACUAUAGUAAUGGUUUUGGUCACUUUGAGGGGAAUUUCGAAAACCAGUCUAUCCAAAAUUACCAUCACAAAGCAUCCUAUGACACAGUGAAAGAUAGCAAUGCAGAGAAUGUUUGUGAUGAAAUUCCAGUACCCUCAGAUCCUCUAGAGAAAAUUCCUCAUAGGAAACACAAUCAUAAUGAAGAAGCUGCAACCAAUGUCAGAAAUUUUAAGCUAAUCAAUUUGAAGGAGUUGGAUAAACAAACACUAGUGUGGGGAAAGCCCCGACAGCCACCCUUAGGGCCUCAAGAGUGGGCAACCUUUUUGGAUAGUGAAGGUCGAGUCAUGGAUUCAGAAGCUUUAAGAAAGAGAAUUUUCUAUGGAGGAAUUGAGCACAAAUUACGCAGAGAGGUCUGGGCAUUUUUACUGGGAUACCAUACAUACGAUUCAACCUACGCUGAGAGGGAGUAUCUUAGGUCCAUUAAAAAGUCAGAGUAUGAGACCAUAAAACACCAGUGGCAGAGUAUCUCAACUGAACAGGCAAGAAGGUUUACAAAAUUCAGGGAGAGGAAAGGACUUAUUGAUAAAGAUGUGGUAAGGACUGAUAGGUCACGCCCUUUCUAUGAUGGUGAUGAUAAUCCAAAUGUGAAUCUUCUACGUGAUAUUCUAUUGACAUACUCUUUCUACAACUUUGAUCUUGGUUAUUGUCAGGGUAUGAGCGAUCUUCUCUCCCCCAUUUUGUUUGUAGUGGAAGAUGAGUCAGAAUCAUUUUGGUUGUUUGUGGCUCUGAUGGAACGACUUGGACCCAAUUUUAAUCGUGACCAAAAUGGAAUGCACACUCAGCUUUUUGCAUUGUCUAAGCUGGUGGAGUUGCUAGACAGGCCAUUGCAUAAUUAUUUCAAGCAGAAUGAGUGCCUGAAUUAUUUCUUUUGUUUUCGCUGGGUUCUAAUACAAUUUAAAAGAGAAUUUGAAUAUGAGAAAACAAUGCGAUUAUGGGAGGUACUAUGGACACAUUAUUUGUCAGAGCACCUGCACUUAUAUGUAUGUGUUGCAAUCUUGAAACGGUACCGGAACAAGAUAAUGGGGGAGCAAAUGGAUUUUGACACACUCUUGAAAUUCAUUAAUGAGCUUAGCGGUCGGAUUGAUCUUGAUCCCAUCUUAAGAGAUGCAGAGGCUUUGUGUAUAUGUGCGGGUGAACAUGGUGCUGCUUGCAUCCCUCCUGGAACUCCGCCUUCACUGCCAGUUGACAAUGGUUUGUUGUACUCCCUGCAAGAUGAUGAAGUAUUGUAAAUAUGAACCCUGUCCUGGCUGAAAAUUGAUUGAACUGUGAGCAACUUGUGAGUGGCGCAGAUUGAUUAAUAUUGAGUUGAGUUCGAGCUUGACCUGAUAAAAAUCUGAGAAAUUAAGGGCAGCUGCGAUUUCCGAUUCAACAGACUCCGUUGGACUUGGCUUUAAUGGGCCACAUUUGAAUCUUUUCGGAUUCUCCCCAUUUUGCCACUGUGUCCAUGUCCUGUGAAUCUUUUUUUCUCUCAGCCCCAUAUUUUCGGAGAAAUGGAGAUCUUCAUAGGGAUUUUCUGCGAUUUCAGUCACAAUGUUGGUUGUUGGUUUGAGAGAAACAUUCCACAUUAACAUUCUAGUUUAUUAUUGAGUGAAGAUUUGAUACAAUUUUAAUUAAAACUUGUAACACUUGUUAGUUAAUGUCACUCCCAUGUUUAGUUUUUUAUUUUUAUUUUAAUUAAUUGAUUAUAUAAUAAUCAACUUUUGCA